UAACAUCCGAUUAAUAACAUCACUAUUCUAAAAAAUCAAACAAUCCACAAUACUAAAAUUCAAUCCAAAAUUCUAAUAACAAAAUUAAGGCUCUAAUAACAAAAUUCAAAUCAGAUUAACAAAUUAGCAGAAUUAAUGUUUAUUAGCAAGAUCAACAUGGGCCUAAACCACCCCAAGCCCAAGCAGGAGGGGGUGCAUUGGUCGAAAUGAGGGUGAUAAUAGUCACUGCAGGAACGGGCUUAGGGCCCAAUCGAUCCACAACUCCAACACCGGGAUAUACUUCCCCCGAAUUCAUCUCCCUAUGAACUCCAAAUGGCCUUAUGCAAGUAGAUCUAGUUGCGCCGGUUCGUCACCGGCGGCGGCGUUUUGAAACGUCGACAUACUCACGUCGUCCUCCGCCUCAGUCUCCCCUCAACAUGAACCUAUCCUCCACUCUCUACAUUCCUUCUCCUCUCGACCUAACCUAAACGAUAACGCACAAACCAAUACAACGGAAUAACCGACGCUAGCAACGGAGCAAGAAUUUAGUUAAGGACUACAAGAUUACGGUUCCGUAUUGCAAAAUUCAGAUCGCGUUAGAGAAAACAUUGAAUCACGGAGGGAUGAGAACACCUAUCAGCGACAGCGGAAAUGGCUUUGUCGGCGAUGUCAACUCAAAAUUCCGGUAAUUGCUUUUCGCAGAUUCAAUCUCUUCGCUUCCUCUAUUCCGUUAUGGACUUUGGUUACACGAAGCUUCGUAGCCUAUUAUGGUGUUCUCCGAUGUCGUUCGAUGGCGGAAUUACUGUGGUUGAGUCCGAAGGUUGUGGAAGAAUACGGUGGAUCCUCUGUAGCAGCUACGUUUGGUUAUACAGGUUGGGGAAGAUUGCGGUGGUUCGAUGAGGAAACGGAAGAACUGCUAUGAAGUUUGUUGAGUUUGUUACGGUUCGGAAGAACGCGACAGAAGAUGCGGUUAGAGAUUGGCUAUCUGUGAAAAGAGAAAAUGGAAGAGAGAGGGAGGAAGGAAAAUGCCAAGAAAAGAUCCCCGCAUUCCACUGUGUGAUUUUGAAUUUAUAGAACUCUCAACUUCGCUUGCGUUUCCUGACUUGCGCGUCCUGUUAUAGCAGUUGCUUUCACUUUUGGCUUCGUCUGUAGCUGGGUUGUCGCAGCUUAUGAAGCGUGCGUUUGGUUGGUUGGCGCUACGGACCCGCGUUCUACUGCAUUUUGAAUUAUUUUGGUUAUUUUGCAUUUUUGAUGCAGCUGGUGUGGUGUAAUAUGGCUUGCAAGAUGAAGUCGGUUGUUGCGUUCUACUUAUGCAGCUUACAUUUACGGCUUGUACUGCUGCAGCUUUUUGAAUGCUUUCCACUUUAUUAUGCAGGUUUCCACUUGGCUGAACUUGUUUUCGACGCCGGCGUGAGCAUUUGGAGCGUUUGGUUUGUCGACUUGGAAGCGCUAGCUUUGCGUAGCAGCAACUUUUGGUUUUGUUUUCGGAUGUGUUUUGCAGUGCUUGCUGCAACUGGUUUCGGUGUUAUGCUCAGCCGGCGUGUGCGUUUCUGUUGGCUGCUGAUGUUGUUAGCAACUUUUUGGAAGUUGAGUUUGGGUAGCGGUUUCCUUGGCAACUAGGCUUGGUGUAGCCUUUGGUUUGUGAGGCUGUUGGCAGGAAGCUGCGUUUGCAGCUUGAGUUUGUAUGAUUGUUACCGCCUGGUGUAGAUUCAUGUUAUGCUACUCAUCAAUUCCGAUUGUUUCUUCUUUUUCUUCA
Lathyrus oleraceus (garden pea) is the source of this 1735-nucleotide long non-coding RNA. RefSeq lists it as uncharacterized. The record is from RefSeq and is a predicted model, not a curated record. NCBI's taxonomy places the organism in Eukaryota, Viridiplantae, Streptophyta, Magnoliopsida, Fabales, Fabaceae. The transcript has 2 exons.